This 273-nucleotide ribosomal RNA is filed under the name Thaparocleidus siamensis. RNAcentral's name for it is "partial 28S ribosomal RNA". It matches the Rfam family "Eukaryotic large subunit ribosomal RNA", at positions 96 to 337 of the family's 3401-position model. Lineage: Eukaryota; Metazoa; Platyhelminthes; Monogenea; Dactylogyridea; Ancylodiscoididae. The record is from RNAcentral.
GAAAGAGAUUAGCCCAUCACCGAAGCCCAUCCGCUCAUGUGGAUAAGGCCAUGUGGUGUUCAGUCAUUGACCUGGGGACAGUUGUUUACUCGAAGUCCAACUCCGAUUUUGGCUUUGGAUUUGUUCCGUAGAGGGUGAAAGGCCCGUACGARUAAACACUUACGGUAUCAAGCUGUUUCCUAAUGGUCAGUGACAUGGAGUCGGAUUGCUUGAGAAUGCAGUCCAAAGUGGGUGGUAAACUCCAUCCAAGGCUAGAUACUGGCACGAGUCUCG